GUUGAACGCUGGCGGCAGGCCUAACACAAGCAAGUCGAACGGUAACAGGAAGCAGCUUGCUGCUUCGCUGACGAGUGGCGGACGGGUGAGUAAUGUCUGGGAAACUGCCUGAUGGAGGGGGAUAGCUACUGGAAACGGUAGCUAAUACCGCAUAACGUCGCACGACCAAAGAGGGGGACCUUCGGGCCUCUUGCCAUCGGAUGUGCCCAGAUGGGAUUAGCUAGGAGGUGGGGUAACGGCUCACCUAGGCGACGAUCCCUAGCUGGUCUGAGAGGAUGACCAGCCACACUGGAACUGAGACACGGUCCAGACUCCUACGGGAGGCAGCAGUGGGGAAUAUUGCACAAUGGGCGCAAGCCUGAUGCAGCCAUGCCGCGUGUAUGAAGAAGGCCUUCGGGUUGUAAAGUACUUUCAGCGGGGAGGAAGGCGAUAAGGUUAAUAACCUUGUCGAUUGACGUUACCCGCAGAAGAAGCACCGGCUAACUCCGUGCCAGCCGCCGCCGUAA
RNAcentral lists this ribosomal RNA (506 nucleotides) under uncultured bacterium. Its description in RNAcentral is "partial 16S ribosomal RNA". It matches the Rfam family "Bacterial small subunit ribosomal RNA", at positions 28 to 523 of the family's 1533-position model. The record is from RNAcentral.